This 333-nucleotide unclassified non-coding RNA is filed under the name Bombus terrestris (buff-tailed bumblebee). Its description in RNAcentral is "misc RNA ENSBTSG00005023607.1". Lineage: Eukaryota; Metazoa; Arthropoda; Insecta; Hymenoptera; Apidae. The record is from RNAcentral.
UUUACAAUCAAUUCUCAUUGAGAAUUAUAAGUAAAUUAUUCUGGCGUGGUACUAUAACUUGAAUAAUAAGUGUUUAUCAUAUGUUUGAUUCUAGUUGAAUCUAAUGCUUAAAUCUAAAGGGUAAUGUCUUUUUAGCCUGCGGAUCUGAUCCGUCAUGUUAAGUAAUUGAAUAACUAGUGAGUUUUGGUGGUUGUUAAUUCUUAUGUUAUAUUUAUUACUGAAUUUGGAUAAUUCUUCUUUAACUGUGGGUAUCUUAAGGUCGCGAUGUAUUGUUUCAUUGGUAACAUACCAAGGUGCAUUUAUUAGGGAUCUUAGAGUUUUUGAUUGGAAUCG